RNAcentral lists this transfer RNA (86 nucleotides) under Deltaproteobacteria bacterium. RNAcentral describes it as "tRNA-Ser". It matches the Rfam family "tRNA". From Rfam's summary of the family: Transfer RNA (tRNA) molecules are approximately 80 nucleotides in length. RNAcentral also lists the same sequence under 1 other name. Lineage: Bacteria; Pseudomonadati; Myxococcota; Myxococcia. The record is from RNAcentral.
GGAGGGAUGGCCGAGCGGCUGAAGGCGGCGGUCUUGAAAACCGCUUACCCCUCCGGGGUACGGGGGUUCGAAUCCCUCUCCCUCCG